Molecule: small nucleolar RNA, 190 nt
Organism: Schistocerca nitens (vagrant locust)
Lineage: Eukaryota; Metazoa; Arthropoda; Insecta; Orthoptera; Acrididae
Source: RefSeq, a predicted model, not a curated record
UUCCUGGCAGAUUAAAACUGUGUGCUGGACCGAGACUCGAACUCGGGACCUUUGCCUUCUGAAGUUCGAGUCUCAGUCCAGCACACAGUUUUAAUCUGCCAGGAAGUUUCAUUUCAUAUAUUGUUCCAACUAUCAGGAUUGUGGAAGAUCAGUGUACUUGACAUAAUCAUCACACACAAUUACAACAGUC